This 429-nucleotide ribosomal RNA is filed under the name Chloroflexota bacterium. RNAcentral describes it as "Chloroflexi bacterium partial 16S ribosomal RNA". It matches the Rfam family "Bacterial small subunit ribosomal RNA", at positions 355 to 776 of the family's 1533-position model. Lineage: Bacteria; Bacillati; Chloroflexota. The record is from RNAcentral.
UGGGGAAUAUUGCACAAUGGGCGCAAGCCUGAUGCAGCCAUGCCGCGUGUGUGAAGAAGGCCUUCGGGUUGUAAAGCACUUUCAGCGGGGAGGAAGGCGAUAAGGUUAAUAACCUUGUCGAUUGACGUUACCCGCAGAAGAAGCACCGGCUAACUCCGUGCCAGCAGCCGCGGUAAUACGGAGGGUGCAAGCGUUAAUCGGAAUUACUGGGCGUAAAGCGCACGCAGGCGGUCUGUCAAGUCGGAUGUGAAAUCCCCGGGCUUAACCUGGGAAGUGCAUUCGAAACUGGCAGGCUAGAGUCUUGUAGAGAGGGGUAGAAUUCCAGGUGUAGCGGUGAAAUGCGUAGAGAUCUGGAGGAAUACCGGUGACGAAGGCGGCCCCCUGGACAAAGACUGACGCUCAGGUGCGAAGGCGUGGGGAGCAAACAGG